RNAcentral lists this long non-coding RNA (231 nucleotides) under Arachis ipaensis. RNAcentral's name for it is "long non-coding RNA (AIPA_LNC000251)". Lineage: Eukaryota; Viridiplantae; Streptophyta; Magnoliopsida; Fabales; Fabaceae. The record is from RNAcentral.
UUUCAUCCAAUUCUUUAUGUGAUGAGCUGCCUCCAUUGUUAUGCUCAACCUCUAAUGAUAUUGACUUGGAAUGUCUUCUAUUGUGAUGCUCUGAUUUUUUAUCUUUACUAUCACCCGAUUUAUCUUUAGUGCGAUGCUUCCUUUCAACAGAUCUUGAUCUGUUUCUUUUAGUGUGAUGAUGCUUUGACCUAUCAGUUUUGAUUUUUUUUUCAUCCUCUCUUUCAUCAAUUU